UCUUUGGCUUUGCUACCUCUCUUCCCUUCCCAUUGUUUUUCCUCCCCCCUCCUAGGUUCUCACAUCGCUUUCCUGUUUCCCUCUCCUGCAAUAUGGAUUUGACAUAUUAAUCAUUACAGCAACUGCUAAAAUUCCACUGUGCUUCAUUAAUCCGGAGGAAAAUACCAUGUCAGCUGGAACUUACUGUGUCUCUGUUUGAUUGAGCCUGGGCAUGAGAUAAAACACGAGGUCAUCUGCAAUGGCACUGGUGCUGUGGCUGUAUCAGCAUGGCUCUGAUGUCCCUUCGGGGCAGGCAACAGUUCAGGGAGGACUUACAAGCAAGCUCUGGAACUUGAAGUCUCAAGAGAUGACAAAUAGUCAAUUCUCAAAAAAUGAAGAAAAGAAAAACUUGUUUCUUCAUGUUUGCUAACCCUAUCUAUAUCUAUGGUUUUGGCCAAUAAAUUCACUGUGUUUAAAUCCUC
Homo sapiens (human) is the source of this 461-nucleotide long non-coding RNA. Ensembl annotates it as long intergenic non-protein coding RNA 1762. The record is from Ensembl. NCBI's taxonomy places the organism in Eukaryota, Metazoa, Chordata, Mammalia, Primates, Hominidae.